UCCUUCUAAUGUGUUUUUCG
RNAcentral lists this microRNA (20 nucleotides) under Schmidtea mediterranea. RNAcentral describes it as "sme-miR-71b-3p". Its record names the gene sme-miR-71b-3p. The record is from miRBase by way of RNAcentral. Lineage: Eukaryota; Metazoa; Platyhelminthes; Tricladida; Dugesiidae.